AAAUUAAAAUUCUCUCUGCUCUCAUCGUCUUCUUCCUUAAGAGGCGUUUGUUUAAUCACUUCCGACGAAAUCAAGGUCAAGAGAAGAAUCAAUUAAUCACUUGUGAGGAGAGACCCACAGUCUUUAGAUAAGUUCUCUUCGCUUAUUAUAUAUGAGUUUCUAGAUCUUUCUUUGCCUUUUUGAUUUUCCCGUUUUAGGGUUUUCAAUUUCGAUUGUAUUGACUCUGUUUUUUUUUUUUUUUUCAUCCUUCAGUGACGAUCAAUCACUUCCCCAGUUCCCAAGAAAUCGCCAUCUCUAGUCGGGAUAAAUCGAGGGAUGAAGUCGAUCGAGCCUUUGCCUGAGGGUGUUUAUCACUCCAAGCGUUCUGGAAUUAUCAUGUUAGAGAUGAAGAGGGUCAUUGGAGGAACUCGUGUUCAACAGUUAGAUGCUGGUGCGACCUAAGGUUUCUUUCUUCAUGGGUGUUGUUUCGUGCUCUAUAAAGGUUGUUGAUGAUGGAUCAGGCGUUUCCAGAGAUGCUUUGGUUUUGUUGGGAAAAAGAUACAGUAAGUUGUGGCGAUAUUUUAUGUUUGAUGCACUGAUAAAGACCACUUCUUAGUCUUCGAUUGAGAACAG
Molecule: long non-coding RNA, 612 nt
Organism: Camelina sativa (false flax)
Lineage: Eukaryota; Viridiplantae; Streptophyta; Magnoliopsida; Brassicales; Brassicaceae
Source: RefSeq, a predicted model, not a curated record